ACGAACGCUGGCGGCGUGCUUCACACAUGCAAGUCGAACGGAAAGGCCCUGCUUUUGUGGGGUGCUCGAGUGGCGAACGGGUGAGUAACACGUGAGUAACCUGCCCUUGACUUUGGGAUAACUUCAGGAAACUGGGGCUACUACCGGAUAGGAGCUCCUGCUGCAUGGUGGGGGUUGGAAAGUUUCGGCGGUUGGGGAUGGACUCGCGGCUUAUCAGCUUGUUGGUGGGGUAGUGGCUUACCAAGGCUUUGACGGGCAGCCGGCCUGAGAGGGUGACCGGCCACAUUGGGACUGAGAUACGGCCCAGACUCCUACGGGAGGCAGCAGUGGGGAAUAUUGCACAAUGGGCGGAAGCCUGAUGCAGCAACGCCGCGUGCGGGAUGACGGCCUUCGGUUUGGAAACCGCUUUCGCCUGUGACGAAGCGUGAGUGACGGUAAUGGGUAAAGAAGCACCGGCUAACUACGUG
This 467-nucleotide ribosomal RNA is filed under the name uncultured bacterium. Its description in RNAcentral is "partial 16S ribosomal RNA". It matches the Rfam family "Bacterial small subunit ribosomal RNA", at positions 29 to 507 of the family's 1533-position model. The record is from RNAcentral.